RNAcentral lists this transfer RNA (68 nucleotides) under Brachidontes mutabilis. RNAcentral's name for it is "tRNA-Ser". Lineage: Eukaryota; Metazoa; Mollusca; Bivalvia; Mytilida; Mytilidae. The record is from RNAcentral.
UAAGAUAGUUGUGAACACGGUAGGGCUGCUAACUUUAUUGUAAAAGAUUAAGAGUCUUUUUAUCUUAU